Molecule: ribosomal RNA, 1372 nt
Filed under: uncultured bacterium
Lineage: Bacteria
Description: bacterial SSU rRNA
Rfam family: Bacterial small subunit ribosomal RNA
Source: RNAcentral
GAUGAACGCUGGCGGCGUGCCUAAUACAUGCAAGUCGAGCGAACGGACGAGAAGCUUGCUUCUCUGACGUUAGCGGCGGACGGGUGAGUAACACGUGGAUAACCUACCUAUAAGACUGGGAUAACUUCGGGAAACCGGAGCUAAUACCGGAUAAUAUUUUGAACCGCAUGGUUCAAAAGUGAAAGACGGUCUUGCUGUCACUUAUAGAUGGAUCCGCGCUGCAUUAGCUAGUUGGUAAGGUAACGGCUUACCAAGGCAACGAUGCAUAGCCGACCUGAGAGGGUGAUCGGCCACACUGGAACUGAGACACGGUCCAGACUCCUACGGGAGGCAGCAGUAGGGAAUCUUCCGCAAUGGGCGAAAGCCUGACGGAGCAACGCCGCGUGAGUGAUGAAGGUCUUCGGAUCGUAAAACUCUGUUAUUAGGGAAGAACAUAUGUGUAAGUAACUGUGCACAUCUUGACGGUACCUAAUCAGAAAGCCACGGCUAACUACGUGCCAGCAGCCGCGGUAAUACGUAGGUGGCAAGCGUUAUCCGGAAUUAUUGGGCGUAAAGCGCGCGUAGGCGGUUUUUUAAGUCUGAUGUGAAAGCCCACGGCUCAACCGUGGAGGGUCAUUGGAAACUGGAAAACUUGAGUGCAGAAGAGGAAAGUGGAAUUCCAUGUGUAGCGGUGAAAUGCGCAGAGAUAUGGAGGAACACCAGUGGCGAAGGCGACUUUCUGGUCUGUAACUGACGCUGAUGUGCGAAAGCGUGGGGAUCAAACAGGAUUAGAUACCCUGGUAGUCCACGCCGUAAACGAUGAGUGCUAAGUGUUAGGGGGUUUCCGCCCCUUAGUGCUGCAGCUAACGCAUUAAGCACUCCGCCUGGGGAGUACGACCGCAAGGUUGAAACUCAAAGGAAUUGACGGGGACCCGCACAAGCGGUGGAGCAUGUGGUUUAAUUCGAAGCAACGCGAAGAACCUUACCAAAUCUUGACAUCCUUUGACAACUCUAGAGAUAGAGCCUUCCCCUUCGGGGGACAAAGUGACAGGUGGUGCAUGGUUGUCGUCAGCUCGUGUCGUGAGAUGUUGGGUUAAGUCCCGCAACGAGCGCAACCCUUAAGCUUAGUUGCCAUCAUUAAGUUGGGCACUCUAAGAUGACUGCCGGUGACAAACCGGAGGAAGGUGGGGAUGACGUCAAAUCAUCAUGCCCCUUAUGAUUUGGGCUACACACGUGCUACAAUGGACAAUACAAAGGGCAGCGAAACCGCGAGGUCAAGCAAAUCCCAUAAAGUUGUUCUCAGUUCGGAUUGUAGUCUGCAACUCGACUACAUGAAGCUGGAAUCGCUGGUAAUCGUAGAUCAGCAUGCUACGGUGAAUACGUUCCCGGGUCU